AUCGCCAGAUAGACUCAAGUGGGUGACGACUGGGGAAUCCCUGGUGUUGUAUGUUUUUG
This 59-nucleotide ribosomal RNA is filed under the name Podospora comata. The record is from RNAcentral. Lineage: Eukaryota; Fungi; Ascomycota; Sordariomycetes; Sordariales; Podosporaceae.